AUUUAAAUAGUUUAAUAAAAAAAUAUUGAUUUGUGAUAUCAAAGAUAUAAUUUAAUUAUUUUAAAUA
Molecule: transfer RNA, 67 nt
Filed under: Ochthebius peisonis
Lineage: Eukaryota; Metazoa; Arthropoda; Insecta; Coleoptera; Hydraenidae
Description: tRNA-His
Source: RNAcentral